Molecule: ribosomal RNA, 253 nt
Filed under: uncultured bacterium
Lineage: Bacteria
Description: partial 16S ribosomal RNA
Rfam family: Bacterial small subunit ribosomal RNA
Source: RNAcentral
UACGAAGGUGGCAAGCGUUGUUCGGAUUUACUGGGCGUACAGGGAGCGUAGGCGGUUGGAUAAGCCCUCCGUGAAAUCUCCAGGCUUAACCUGGAAAGUGCAGAGGGGACUGUUCAGCUAGAGGAUGGGAGAGGAGCGCGGAAUUCCCGGUGUAGCGGUGAAAUGCGUAGAGAUCGGGAGGAAGGCCGGUGGCGAAGGCGGCGACCUGGGUAGAUACUGACGCUGAUGAGCGAAAGCCAGGGGAGCAAACGGG